AUAUUCCAGCACAAGGGACAGAGGGGGAACAUACUUGGUGUGUGUGAGUAACAUGGAGGAAGCAUGGCUAAGUGGCAUGAACAAGAAGGUAUGGUAGGUGCAGAGGGUGUAGGUGCAGCAGGUGGUAGGUGCACAGGGUGUAGGUGCAGUGGAUGUAGGUUCAGUGGAUGUAGGUGCAGACAGUGGUAGGUGCAGACAGUGGUAGGUGCAGAGCGUGUAGAUGCAGUGGAUGUAGGUACAGAGGGUGUAGGUGCAGUGGAUGUAGGUGCAGUGGAUGUGGGUGCAGAGGGUGUAGGUGCAGUGGAUGUGGGUGCAGAGGGUAUAGGCGCAGCAAGUGGUAAGUACAGAAGGUGUAGGUGGAGUGGAUGUGGGUGCAGAGGAUGUAGGUGCAGAGGGUGUAGGUGCAGUGGAUGUAGGUGCAUUGGACGUAGGUGCAAAGGGUGUAAGUACAGUGGAUGUAGGUGCAGAUGGUGUAGGUGCAGAGGAAGUAGGUGCAUUGGAUGUAGGUGCAAAGGGUGUGAGUACAGUGGAUGUAGGUGCAGAGGGUGUAGGUGCAGCAAGUGGUAACUACAGAGGGUGUAGGUGCAGUGGAUCUAGGUGCAGAUGGUGUAGGUGCAGAGGGUAUAGAUGCAGUGGAUGUAGGUGCAGAUGGUGUAGGUGCAGAUGGUGUAGGUGCAGAGGGUGUAGGUGCAGUGGAUGUAGGUGCAGAAGGUGGAGGUGCAGUGGAUGUAGGUGCAGAUGGUGUAGGUGCAGAAGGUGGAGGUGCAGUGGAUGUAGGUGCAGAUGGUGUAGGUGCAGAGGGUGUAGGUGCAGUGGAUCUAGGUGCAGAUUGUGUAGGUGCAGAGGGUAUAGGUGCAGUGGAUGUAGGUGCAGAUGGUGUAGGUGCAGAGGAUGCAGGUGCAGAAGGUGUAGGUGCAGUGGAUAUAGGUGCAGAUGGUGUAGGUGUAGAUGGUGUAGGUGUAUGGAUGUAGGUGCAGAGGGUGUAGGUGCUGUGGAUGUAGGUGCAGAGGGUGUAGGUACAGUGGAUGUAGAUGCAGAAGGUGUAGGUGCAGAGGGUGUAGGUGCAGUGAAUGUAGGUGCAGAGGGUGUAGAUGCAGUGGAUGUAGGUGCAGAGGAUGUAAGUGCAGCAAGUGGUAAGUGCAGAAGGUGUAGGUGCAGUGAAUGUAGGUGCAGAGGGUGUAGGUGCAGUGGAUGUAGGUGCAGAGGGUGUAAAUGCAGCAAGUGGUAAGUGCAGAAGGUGUAAGUUCAGUGGAUGUAGGUGCAGAAGGUAUAGGUGCAACAGGUUGUAGGUGCAGUGGAUGGCAGUACAGAGGGUGUAGGUGCAGUGGGGACCCAAUCAUUCAGCACCUCUAUAGAAGUAAUGGGAUGGGAUACAUUUUGAAGAUAGAGCAGACAGUAUUUGCUGACUAGAUAUGGAAUUUGGCAGGGGUAGGGGGAGAAGGCAGAGUCCAGAGUGACACCAAAGGUCUCUGGCCAGCACUGGAAAGACACAGAUGCCA
RNAcentral lists this long non-coding RNA (1499 nucleotides) under Homo sapiens (human). RNAcentral describes it as "non-protein coding lnc-PTPN11-3:1". Lineage: Eukaryota; Metazoa; Chordata; Mammalia; Primates; Hominidae. The record is from RNAcentral.